This 72-nucleotide transfer RNA is filed under the name Eutypa lata. RNAcentral describes it as "tRNA-Gly". It matches the Rfam family "tRNA". Rfam says of the family: Transfer RNA (tRNA) molecules are approximately 80 nucleotides in length. Their secondary structure includes four short double-helical elements and three loops (D, anti-codon, and T loops). The record is from RNAcentral. Lineage: Eukaryota; Fungi; Ascomycota; Sordariomycetes; Xylariales; Diatrypaceae. RNAcentral also lists the same sequence under 1 other name.
GCAACCAUAAGUUAAUUGGUAAACUUUUCAUCUACCACAUGAAUGUUGUCAGUUCAAAUCUGACUGGUUGUA